AUGUUUUUCCUAUUCCCCUGCAAAAUGAAACACACACACACGCUCAGUUUAUCCCUUUUUCCCAUGACCUCACCGUUAACCCUCCUCGCCAGAUCGCGUAGGUUUCAUUAUCCUCGCCGGAUUUUUCUUCCACACCGCCGUUAUCACCGGAUCUGGUACUUCUUUUAAAAUACGCCAGAAUCCUCUUCAUCACCACCAUCAUCGUCUGAAAGUUUGGGUUAUCACGUCGGUGGGUUCAGCCCCCGAUGCAUCAUCACCGCCCCAUGGAUACCAUUCUAAAACCCACCAAGGCGGCUGCUAUCUGGUGGGUUUUUAGGGUUCAUCAUCACCCCAAUACAUCAUCAAUACCACAUGGGCCGCCGAUUUGCUAUGAUAAUAAAGGAAAGAUACAAAAUUUAUUCAUUCUCCUUUAUGUGUAGGACUACAAGUGUAAAAAAGAUGAAGACAAAGGACUAUUUCUGGAUACUCAAGUUGAGAAAGGAAUGUAAAGAAGAAGAAAAUAAGGGGCUGAUUCUGUAACUUGAAGAUAUAUAUAAACCUGCUUAUAUCAGAUUUAGGGUUAAUCGGGAAUCAUAUAUUUUCUGCAUCUAUUAUUGAUCGAUAUUAUUCUCUCUCAAAUAUUCAUAUUCUGUAUCUAUAUAUAUCACAUCGAUAUAUAUAAUUUCUCUGUAUUAUAAUCAUCAUAUUGAUGAUUAUUUUUCGAUCUGGUUGUAAUAACAAUAAUUUCUAUUACUUAAUCAUAAUAAUAUCUGCAUCUGUUCUUGAUUAAA
Molecule: long non-coding RNA, 770 nt
Organism: Erigeron canadensis
Lineage: Eukaryota; Viridiplantae; Streptophyta; Magnoliopsida; Asterales; Asteraceae
Exons: 3
Source: RefSeq, a predicted model, not a curated record